This is a non-coding RNA of Paramuricea clavata, 100 nucleotides long. Lineage: Eukaryota; Metazoa; Cnidaria; Anthozoa; Malacalcyonacea; Plexauridae. The record is from the annotation of a GenBank genome assembly.
GAAUCAUCAGGUGGUCCACCUGAUGAUUCCUAUACGGAUGAAACAGACUGUUGUGUAAUAUACGAAUAGGAAUCAUCAGGUGGACCACCUGAUGAUUCCC